RNAcentral lists this ribosomal RNA (867 nucleotides) under Triticum aestivum (bread wheat). RNAcentral's name for it is "partial small subunit ribosomal RNA". Lineage: Eukaryota; Viridiplantae; Streptophyta; Magnoliopsida; Poales; Poaceae. The record is from RNAcentral.
CAAGGCCUAGGCUUGCCUCUCGUGCCACCGUAUCUGUCACACAAGGGGAGCUUCCAGCAGGGCGCGAACUUCGCCGUUGGUGGCGCCACCGCUCUCAACUCCAGCUUCUUCCACAUCGGUGACCCUCCCGGCGCCAGCCCGUUCCCCCUCAACACCAGCCUCGAAGUGCAGCUUGGCUGGUUUGAGGAGCUCAAGCCUUCCUUGUGCCAAACGGACCAAGAGUGCAAGGAUUUCUUCGGCAGAUCGCUCUUCUUCGUGGGUGAAUUUGGGAUCAACGACUACCACUACUCCUUCGGGAAGAAGAGUAUGCAAGAAAUCAGAGCAUUCGUGCCAGAUCUCAUCCAGACCAUCUCCAUGGGUGCCGAGAGAGUGAUCGAGCACGGGGCGAAGACUCUAGUUGUCCCUGGGAUGAUCCCGUCCGGAUGCGCGCCGCCGAUCCUCGUCGCCUUCGAGGACGCCGACGCUUCGGAAUAUGAUGCCACCACCGGUUGUCUCAAGGAGCCUAACGAGAUCGUGAAGCUCCACAACUCUCUGCUGCGAGACGCCGUCCAGAAGCUGCGGGCGGAGCACCCUGAUGUGACCAUCAUCCACACUGACCUGUUCAACCACGUUAUGGAGAUGGUCAAGGCGCCUGAAAAAUUCGGGAUUAACAAAGAUGACGUUCUUAGAGUUUGUUGUGGAGGACGUGGGAGGUACCACUACAACCUCUCGGUUGCUUGUGGCGACGAAGCCGCGACGACGUGCGAGGAUCCGUCCACUCAUCUAUUCUGGGACGGUGUCCACCUGACGGAGGCAGCUUACCACUACAUCGCUGAAGAUUGGCUCAACACCAUAGUAAGCAGCCUGCCUACAACAGCUAGCUCUUAA